GAUGAACGCUGGCGGCGUGCCUAAUACAUGCAAGUCGAGCGAACGGACGAGAAGCUUGCUUCUCUGAUGUUAGCGGCGGACGGGUGAGUAACACGUGGAUAACCUACCUAUAAGACUGGGAUAACUUCGGGAAACCGGAGCUAAUACCGGAUGAUAUUUUGAACCGCAUGGUUCAAAAGUGAAAGACGGUCUUGCUGUCACUUAUAGAUGGAUCCGCGCUGCAUUAGCUAGUUGGUAAGGUAACGGCUUACUAAGGCAACGAUGCAUAGCCGACCUGAGAGGGUGAUCGGCCACACUGGAACUGAGACACGGUCCAGACUCCUACGGGAGGCAGCAGUAGGGAAUCUGCCGCAAUGGGCGAAAGCCUGACGGAGCAACGCCGCGUGAGUGAUGAAGGUCUUCGGAUCGUAAAACUCUGUUAUUAGGGAAGAACAUAUGUGUAAGUAACUGUGCACAUCUUGACGGUACCUAAUCAGAAAGCCACGGCUAACUACGUG
RNAcentral lists this ribosomal RNA (497 nucleotides) under uncultured bacterium. RNAcentral describes it as "partial 16S ribosomal RNA". It matches the Rfam family "Bacterial small subunit ribosomal RNA", at positions 28 to 507 of the family's 1533-position model. The record is from RNAcentral.